UACGUAGGGGGCGAGCGUUGUCCGGAUUUACUGGGCGUAAAGGGUGAGUAGGCGGUUGUAUAUGUCAGGUGUAAAAGGCUAUGGCUUAACCAUAGUUAGCACUUGAAACUGUAUGACUUGAGUGCAGGAGAGGUAAGUGGAAUUCCUAGUGUAGCGGUGAAAUGCGUAGAUAUUAGGAGGAACACCAGUGGCGAAGGCGACUUACUGGACUGUAACUGACGCUGAGUCACGAAAGCGUGGGUAGCAAACAGGAUUAGAUACCCUGGUAGUCCACGCUGUAAACGAUGAGUGCUAGGUGUUGGCCAGCGAUGGUCAGUGCCGCAGUAAACGCAUUAAGCACUCCGCCUGGGGAGUACGUACGCAAGUAUGAA
Molecule: ribosomal RNA, 371 nt
Filed under: uncultured bacterium
Lineage: Bacteria
Description: bacterial SSU rRNA
Rfam family: Bacterial small subunit ribosomal RNA
Source: RNAcentral